UACAGAGGUCUCAAGCGUUGUUCGGAUUCAUUGGGCGUAAAGGGUGCGUAGGUGGCGCCGUAAGUCGGGUGUGAAAUUUCGGAGCUUAACUGCGAAACUGCAUUCGAUACUGCGGUGCUUGAGGACUGGAGAGGAGACUGGAAUUCAUGGUGUAGCAGUGAAAUGCGUAGAGAUCGGCAGGAACACCCAGGGGGAAACCAGUCGACUGGGCAGCACCUGACGCUGAGGUGCGAGAGCGUGGGGAGCGAACCGG
RNAcentral lists this ribosomal RNA (253 nucleotides) under uncultured bacterium. RNAcentral describes it as "partial 16S ribosomal RNA". It matches the Rfam family "Bacterial small subunit ribosomal RNA", at positions 524 to 776 of the family's 1533-position model. The record is from RNAcentral.